Symphalangus syndactylus (siamang) is the source of this 351-nucleotide long non-coding RNA. RefSeq lists it as uncharacterized. The record is from RefSeq and is a predicted model, not a curated record. Lineage: Eukaryota; Metazoa; Chordata; Mammalia; Primates; Hylobatidae.
GUAUACCAACAAACGCAAAACGACGCUCCCAUAAGGAGAGGAAAAAGAAAGUGGGGAGGAAAAAUAUUUGAAAAGAUAAUUCCCAAAGGAAUUAUUUGAAAGCAGAGAUAGAAGCUUCCUGGCUGCUUGGAGACACAUUUUUUCCAGAUCUGGGAGGACUACACGAUUUUCAGAUACGAGAAACGUGAUCUCAACUGAAUGCGUGGGAAACAUAGCACUGAGAAAAUUUCAAAUGACCCUGUAUCAGAGUACAUUUGUUGAAACACUGAUGAAAAAUGGUAAUAAACAACCCCAAUGUGUAAUCAGAAAUUAUUUUUCACCAUGAUCCUUGCAGUCUUCACUACAGGCCCC